This 482-nucleotide ribosomal RNA is filed under the name uncultured bacterium. RNAcentral's name for it is "partial 16S ribosomal RNA". It matches the Rfam family "Bacterial small subunit ribosomal RNA", at positions 28 to 507 of the family's 1533-position model. The record is from RNAcentral.
GACGAACGCUGGCGGCGUGCUUAACACAUGCGAGUCGAACGCUGAAGCUCAGCUUGCUGGGUGGAUGAGUGGCGAACGGGUGAGUAACACGUGAGUAACCUGCCCUCUUCUUUGGGAUAACGCCCGGAAACGGGUGCUAAUACUGGAUAUUCACUGAUUCUCGCAUGGGGGUUGGUGGAAAGGUUUUUUCUGGUGGGGGAUGGGCUCGCGGCCUAUCAGCUUGUUGGUGGGGUGAUGGCCUACCAAGGCUUUGACGGGUAGCCGGCCUGAGAGGGUGACCGGUCACAUUGGGACUGAGAUACGGCCCAGACUCCUACGGGAGGCAGCAGUGGGGAAUAUUGCAUAAUGGGCGAAAGCCUGAUGCAGCGACGCCGCGUGAGGGAUGGAGGCCUUCGGGUUGUAAACCUCUUUCGCUCAUGGUCAAGCCGCAGCUUUGGGUUGUGGUGAGGGUAGUGGGUAAAGAAGCGCCGGCUAACUACGUG